This 253-nucleotide ribosomal RNA is filed under the name uncultured bacterium. Its description in RNAcentral is "partial 16S ribosomal RNA". It matches the Rfam family "Bacterial small subunit ribosomal RNA", at positions 524 to 776 of the family's 1533-position model. The record is from RNAcentral.
UACGUAGGGACCGAGCGUUGUCCGGAUUCAUUGGGCGUAAAGAGCUCGUAGGCGGCUGCUCAAGUCGAAUGUGAAAACUCGAGGCUCAACCUCGAGCCUGCAUUCGAUACUGGGCGGCUAGAGUCUGGUAGGGGGAUCUGGAAUUCCUGGUGUAGCGGUGGAAUGCGCAGAUAUCAGGAAGAACACCCGUGGCGAAGGCGGUUCUCUGGAACGCAACUGACGCUGAGACGCGAAAGCGUGGGGAGCAAACAGG